Long non-coding RNA from Xiphophorus couchianus (Monterrey platyfish), 7704 nucleotides. RefSeq lists it as uncharacterized. NCBI's taxonomy places the organism in Eukaryota, Metazoa, Chordata, Actinopteri, Cyprinodontiformes, Poeciliidae. The record is from RefSeq and is a predicted model, not a curated record. The transcript is spliced from 2 exons.
UAUGCAGAGAAAUAAAAUAAUGAUUUCCCCAGAUUUCCUUCACUCCAAAUGAUCAAGACACAUCUGACUACACGCCCAUCCUUUCAUGAAUUACUAAGCAUUCUGGCACACUCUCUGCCUUCUUGCACAAGCACUGUCGUUUUGCUUUCUCGUCUGCCACCGUGACAGAUCCCGAGACGGACCCUCCUACCCUGCAGCCAGGCACUCUGACCUGAAAACGACAACACAAAGCAGCAGCAGCAGCAGCAGCAGCAGCAGCAGCAGCAGCAGCAGCAGCAGCAGCAGCAGCAGCGUUGUGGUUCCAGGAGAAGGGAGGGCGAAGUGGGCGGAGAAACAGCAGCAUGUCAGAAAUUCUCAGCACCGACCUUUAACCCCCUGGUCCCCACCCAAGCAGCUUGAAGCAGCCUCCUGCUGACGUAUGACGCCAAAACUCGCCUGUCAGGUUUAGAUUCUGAGAUCAGCCACUCAGAGUUUCAGCUGCAGUGACUCUGGCAUGAUAUCCCCACAGGACCAGGCCCCAGAGGAUUGUCUGUACUUGCAGCUACAUGAUGCACUGACUCAUCAAGCGUCUGCUGACGGCUGCUCUUACAGUCAACAUUGACGCUCACCUUUCCAACAGGCGCAGCUUCAAUUUACUGAAAACAUCCUCAAUAUUCACCAGCCGCUAAUAGAAAUCAAUCGAUUGAUGCUGUGAAUAGCUCUUGUUAAAGUUUUGAAAGGCUGUUUUAAGCAUUGUUUCCCCCCCACACAGCAUGUUGCCAUUCUCUGGAAAUCAGGGAGAGUAUUUGGUGCUGCUUUGUUCCUCUUAGGCAAGGCAGCGGGUUCAGUCAACUAUUGCAGUCUAGUGACACGCCCUGCUGAUCGCCUUGGCAACAUACGCGGCUCUGUUUUGUUGAAGGUUUCAUCUCCUGGCCCAAUUCAUGUCUGACACUGCAGACAUUUUGUUUUAUUUUUGAUAAGAUUGCUAAACUCUUACGGAAAACCUUAAAAUCUUUCUAUGAUAAAAAGAUUUAAAACGGAAGAUUACAGUAAAAAGUAAAACUAAGAGUUAAUCUGGGCUUACGUUUUAUUUUCUAUUCGUCCUGCUGAGUUUCGAGUCUUAUCAGCCAGUUUAUAGUUAAAUGCUAGGUCAGAUUGUAAACUUCACACUGGACUUUGCUCUCUUCUAGUUAAUAAGUGAUGCCUUCUUUUCACUCGCACUUCUUUACCACCAGCACUACAACAGUAACACAGGGGCCUAGCUUUGGAAGAAACCCGCAUUUCAUACUCAGCACCUCCCACCCGUCUUGUUAGGCAACAGAAUAACUUCAGGAGGCUUCUUCCCAAAAAAAAAAAAACUGCCUUCACAGUAAAACCAGGAAUGCGCAUCCGUGAAAAGCUGCCAGAGAGCAAGUUGCGACAGACAAAGCAGACGUGGACACUUUCCAGCUUUCGCUGCUGAAACACUAGUGUGACAUUCCACGCUAACGCUGCAUAUUCGAUCUGUCUGAGAGCGACGCUUCUGCUGCAAAAACCAAAAACAUCUCUCACAGUUUCACCACUUUUAUUUUAAACUCCUCUGACUCAGCCGUCACGUCAAAACUGCUGAAAUGAUCAGAUAAGAGGACGUCUCUGCUGUGACAAAAGGGAUGAGUAAGGCUGCUGUCAGUGGUGAGAACAUGCAGUCCUGCCCCCGUCCCACAGGCGAGUCAAACAGGGAGUGUCUCCAGAGCAACAACAGGUUCCCGAUAAGGGUGUGGCAGAGGAUUGCGUGGGUGAAGGUGAAUACACCUUCAGGGAAUAUCAACAUUUCCUAGCAUCUUAAAACCAUCCCAGCAGAUCUAAACGUUGCUGUCCUAAGCUCUUCUUCGUAUCACAGCAGGAAUAAAUCAGGUUUUAGGGCCCCCGGGAUGAACUCUGCUCAUAUUCCAGUCGUAUUCCUAACAAGCUCCAAGGAGUUUGUGCUGAUCUCUUAUUUAGGUUUAGUCCUUUCUGACAGGCAGGGUGGUAAGAAAAACAUUUGAGAUGUUGCUCGUCUCUCUGGUAGACGUUAUACACUUGCUUAAGAGCAUUAGGCCCACACAAAUCUAAUAAAGCAAAAAAGUUUUAGGAAAUACGCUCAUUUGUCUUUUUGCCAACAACUACAUGAGAAAACUUACCCCUAUUUGGACUCGCUUACAGGCCAGCAGCCAACUAGGCUACCAGAGAUCAGCAUGUCAGGGGGAAAAAAAAGUGAAAGCUUCUUAAAAACAGGUCAUUUUUACUCAACUGAAUGCUAAAAAUAUUUGCAGGAAAAAAAAUGUGCGCAUGUUGUUAUCCAAUACACAUUCAAGUAAGAGGAUCUUGUGUCUUUGUUGUUUAAAAAACAGGAAAAAAAGUCUUUUACCCCAUCUGGUAUAAAUCUGAUUUCUCACAGACUUGCUGGUUUUAUGUUUGGACUGACAAGCAAAUAAAGCAGAUUAUUGAAGCACACAUCUGUAAAGCUUCUUGCACCAUCUGGAUCAGAGAACUACAGUGUGCGACAUACAGGCCACCCGCCACAUCAUGAACACCCCUCUUAAAAGGCAACCCAAACUCCUUAACAACACCCAGGACUUUAACAAACGUCCGGAACUCUGUGUCCUAUCCUCCAUGUUGUUCAAUGUAGGAAAUGUACAUUUUGACCAAAAUACUUUAACUUAGGCCUAUUAUUGGGAUACAUUUUCAAUAAACUUUAAAGUGGAUUUAUAGUAUAAAUUUUCACAUUUUGCUGAAGCAUUUUUAAUGUCUGUUUUGGCAAAAGUACAUUUUGGUUAGAUUUACUGAUGUAAAGCCACUGAACUGCUAGUUUUACCACAAAAUUAAUCUCUUGUGCACUACAUAGCUUAUUAAAUGUUAAGAUUUUACUGGAAUUGCAAUACUAAAGCUAGCAUUAGAUACAAUAUGUCUCAGCUUAGGCUACAAAGCUGCAUAGUUUGAUAUUAUGUUCAAACUUUGUAGCUGCACUUUACUGUCAUGUCAUGAAUGUUGUGCACUAUGUAGCAAAUCAUAAAAAAAUACAGUUGAAACUUGAAACGUUAGACUGCUACUGUUCAUAGCUUAUUAGCUUGUAUGGCUUGAUAAAGUCAACAAACAUAGUUCAGAUUAACCAUUCAACUUCUGUGCAGUAUUUCAGUACAUCAUGUGAUCCGUGGAUGAAAAUAUAUAUAUAAAUAUAUAUAUUUUCUGGUUUUCUUAGGUCACAAAGCUGUAUUGUUACCAAUCCAUCCAGUGAGAACUAUUUUUAGUAAUUUACACAACUCUUCAUCAUUUCCCCACAGAUUUUGAAGUCGUCAAUCCCAGCAGAAUAAAUCCUAACAUAUUAUGUACUAAGUCCACCUGGAUGCCAAGCCACAAAUUUCUCGUCUUCUGCUUGGACAACAGUAACUGAUCAGGCUGUCAGGGCGCACAGUUCGCUAUGAAUCAAUAAGUGAGAAUGUGAGAACAGCUAAUGGAUUUAAUGUGGUGGGUGACAGGAAGUGAUGGACAACCUUAUCUGACUCACUAAAGCUGUUAGUGUGAUCAGACAGAGGAAGUUUGUUUAGAGAAGUUAAACUGCUGCUAAUUACUAUGAAACAGGCACAAAGUCGCUGAGACAUUUGUCUAAGCGCCACAAGCACAGAUAAAGAGGCCCCGAGCUUGAAGGGUGCAUUUUUAGAGUGUUUUGAAGUGACCGUAAUGUCGAGUGAUAAAGCCAAGUCCAUAGCAGUGCCAGGUUUAACCCUUCAUAUCCUCAAAAACAGCCAACAUAUUACGGCAAUUUCCUUUGGCAACAUUAAACUGAAUUAAUCUAAGCUGCUUAUCUGGAAAUAAGCCAAACAACUCUGUCGACCACUGACGGGAAACAAAAUGGGCAGCAGCAGAAUGGCUGAGAGUCCUUGUUCUGUCAGUUGAUUCACUGCCGCUACUUUAAUGAGUCAAAUUAGGCCAGUGGAUAUAGUACGGUGGCUGUAAACUGGAGCGUAGCUGUUUACUCCCUCUGGGAUCUGACUGUGAAUCAAAGGAAAUGUGAGAAGUCUCUGAGGAGGUGCCUGAGCGCAGACCAGAUUCACAUUACACCGACCUGAUAACAAGACGGAAGGAGUAAAAAGGGCUCAUUUGCACAGCCUGCACCGGAAUAAAGUUCACAAAACAAGGAGAAGAUGCAUGUCCACAGACCGCAAUCUUUAUCAGAACCGACAUAAAGAAAACGCCUGAAUAUUGAAUACAUAGUCAUUGCUGGGAGAUUCAAGUUUUUCCAGGCCCCUUUUUGAAUUUAAAAGAAGGGACAUCCCCCCCAUCCAUGGUGUUUGGCUGAUGUUAGGAAGGAAGAGGAUGAACUGACAACACAGAGAGUGCCCUGUUUUACUUUGUUUGAGACUGAGAGGAAAAGAGUAGCCACAUUGUCCCACUGACUUCUGCUAUAUUGAAAAGGAAACUACUCAAGAGUUCCCCACUGGGUGCAAACAAAAAGCGGACUGAAGCACAUCAUGAUGGCUCUGUGUGUUCACAAGCCAAGCUUAGUGCACAAAUCUGCAGCCAAAGCCCAGUCUGAAGGCCUGCGAGGGGAGUUUCAUUUUGAACUGUCAAUGCUAUGAGUUAGAGUCUGCCUGAACUCUGAGGAAAUGCAAAAGAUAAUACAUUUUUCAGGUAGUAGGAGGAAUGUGCUGCUUAGGAUACCAGGGCAAGGGAAUGAAGAGAUAAGAAAGAACACAGAAAGUUUGUCAAAUACAAGUUCAACGACUGAAAAAAGUGUUCAAAAUAAAUAAUGAUCUUUUUAGUGAACAUAAAAUCACAUGUAAUCAAGUAACAACGACCGCUUAAAGUACUUUAAUGAUCUCAAAGGGAAAUUAAAUUUUUAUCGACAAAUCCACAAACAAAUCAUGAGCCUCAGUCCCUAUGACAUUUAGAAAUUACUUCCUGUUAUUCAGAAAUAUCCAACAAAUACUCAUUCAGUAACAGUUUGAGUUGUAGCAUGUUUUUAAUGGCUUUACUGCAUGCAACUGUGGAAAAAAGAACAAUCAUGAAAAUCCUCUUUAGGGUCAGUAAGGAGCAAUAGUUAGUCUUAAAUAUUUAUUUUUAAUUUUAAAGCUGUGUACACUAUUAUUAAUAAAGUUAAUGUUAACCCAAAUCAGCUCAGGCAUGACAGCCUUUUCCAACUGAUAAUGUGAGAAACCACAUGAUGAAAAAAGGAUAGUUGUUAAAACAAAGCAACAUUUUAUGGAUGCUAGCACUAGCAUGCUAAGGUUAUUAGUUUGCUAAGCUAAUGCCACAAAGUCACACAGUCCAUUUGGAUCUGUGUGAAAAACACUGGUACUGCUUAAGCAUGAACCACAUGAUGAAUUUAGUGUGCACUCUCAAGUGAACAUAAAAUUAUACUUAAAACAUCUAAUAAACAUUAGUGUUAGCAUGCUAUAGCUAAUGGAAAUUAGCUGUAGGUCACACAGAUCCUUUGACCAAGGUUAUGAAAAACCUCUGUACUACUUUUAUAAAUGUACCAUAUCAUUAAUUCAUGUGGAGUGGCUCUGAAAUCAAAGCCAAGUUUUAAACAUUUAAUGUAGCAUUAGCAAACUAAACACACUUGAGAGAGCUGUACAGUCGUUUUCUAUCUAUGUAAUUUACCAUCUCUGUACGCUACUUUUCUUGUGUUAUUAUAAAUCUGUAGUAGACCAUCUAGAGGAUGAACAAUUACAGUUGUCAUACAUUACAACUAAGCCUACGCAAAUGUUAAAAUUACAUCAUUCACUUCAAGGAAUUAAACCCUGACUCAGAGUCCCCCCCGUUACCUCCCAUGUAUUUUCUGUCAUACAUUCAUCACAGUUUCUGGAUUACACAAAUGUCAAGUUGCACAAUUUUCACAACCCAUGACUUCCUGGGAGACUUAAAAAGCAAUGGACAAAGAGAACAAGACCAAUGCUUCACAUUUUUUUCCCCAAAAGGUGACAAAACAAAUCUGAAAGCAACGCAGUCUUUUUUGUGGCGCUAUCUACCAAGUAAAGCUUCCCAGUUGAUUUCUUUCCGUUUCAGCCACACAUCCUACCCGUCCUCACUCUUCUCAAUAUCUCAUAGAAGUGUAACAGGGAGGAGGCGUACAGAAACAGCCACAACCCAACAAUCAUCCAACAGUGAAAACAUUUCUCUUCAAUCAGACGUGGAAUGUAGAUCCCUCCCUCCUCACCACAGCAAUGAAAAAAAUUAUCAGCAGUAAUGUUUUCAGAGGAACAGCAGCAGAACAGAUACCGUCGGGAAGCUGCGGGACUCAUGCAUGGUUAACUCAGGCAUCUUUGCAGAGACAUGACCUGAACCUGGUCGUACUCAGCGUGGUUUUUAAAACCGCCAUGCAUAGGGGAAAAACAACAACAAUGUUAUUGGUUAAGACAUUUGAGCAAGUGACUUUUGAUUCAGCUAACUGCUGAUGGUAAAUAAUUGCCUUAAUGACUUGUUGGCUAUUUCCAACUGUACUUGGUAAACAAUAUACAACUGUAAGAAGAGAAUGAGUGUCAGAAACAGCAGAAAUCUGUCCAAUGAAUGGGAUAUUUUUAUGGAAAAACAAUUAGGUUAUUGAUAAUGAUAACAGAAGCUUUAGAUAGCUUACAGUCUGUUCUUUUGUCAUUUUAAAGCAAUAAAAAGAACAUUUUGAUUACUUGCUGGCCCUGCUUCAACAAUAAAGAACAGCAAAGAAAACCAUAAUAGUUUUAAAUAUUUGGACUGAAAGCUCCAUUGCUAAAUAAAUAUUGGUGAAAGGCAAAUCUAUGGACAUUUUAUUAGACUUUUACCGCACUAACCUCAAUGGAAAACCCUUUGUUGUUCCCUCUCUAUGGAAACGCUAGAAUGCUUAACACGAUGCAUUCAAAGACAAUGAGUGGGGUGAAAAGCUGUAACUGAGCCUGUGGAAAGUUCAGCGUUGGGCAUCACUGGAUCCAGACAGAAGCGGGUCCAGAUCCAGGAGAGACAAAAACAUAAACCAAGAGGCCAGGAUAUAAGACUUUCACUAAUCCCCUUUAAAAAGUGUAAUGUCCACUAAUGUAGGACAGUAUCAGGGUAUUAGAUGGAGGGGGCAGGGAUUAGCACUAUGUAUCCACAGAUGUAACAGCGAAAUCUACUGUAAGUCACCCCCUGGGGACAUCCAACCACCAUCCCACCCUUUCCCCCCCGAGGACAGACAGGAACAGCUUUCCAAACCUGCCCCUGUCUGGUGCCGAACUACGAGCCAGAUUGGCAUCAACCAAGAGAACCAAGUCCUGUUCAGUCCUUGGCACACUAAGCGGCUCCAGCAGGAAACUUUCUUUCAAACCCAGCAGGAUAUCACACACAUGUUGGCUCUGAUCCAGAUGCGUUGUAAUGACUGGCGAUGAUUCACAGUCAAGAAUAAUAAAUGAUACAAUUACAGUUAAUGAUCCAAAUGUCAACGCGGCAAACACGGUUGCAAAUUAAAGAUGUGCCGGCACAAGUUUAAGCCAUUCUUAAACAGUCACAGAAGGUGUAGGGCACCUUGGGUGGACAUUAGAGUUGCAUAAAACAGUAGUCAUCACAGGAUAGUGUGUAUUGCCAAGGCCUGUCUGGAUGUGGUAUUUUGAAUUAUACUCUCAAUGCUGGGCCUUCGUGCUGUAAUACUAGUAAUGCUUCAGACCAUGUGGGAGGAAGUUAAUGGCUCUUAAUGCUGACACUGGAUGUGUAUCUUUAGAUGCUAAAGCACUUUGAUAGUGGCGGUGGACGUGGAUAUGAAAA